RNAcentral lists this ribosomal RNA (456 nucleotides) under uncultured bacterium. RNAcentral's name for it is "bacterial SSU rRNA". It matches the Rfam family "Bacterial small subunit ribosomal RNA", at positions 28 to 507 of the family's 1533-position model. The record is from RNAcentral.
GACGAACGCUGGCGGCGUGCCUAACACAUGCAAGUCGAACGGAGCACUUCGGUGCUUAGUGGCGAACGGGUGAGUAACGCGUGAGAAACCUGCCUCUCAGUGGGGGACAACAGUUGGAAACGACUGCUAAUACCGCAUAACGUAUUCGGAGGGCAUCCUCUGGAUACCAAAGCUUUAUGUGCUGAGAGAUGGUCUCGCGUCUGAUUAGCUAGAUGGCGGGGUAACGGCCCACCAUGGCGACGAUCAGUAGCCGGUCUGAGAGGAUGAACGGCCACAUUGGGACUGAGAUACGGCCCAAACUCCUACGGGAGGCAGCAGUGGGGAAUAUUGGGCAAUGGGGGAAACCCUGACCCAGCAACGCCGCGUGAAGGAAGAAGGCCUUCGGGUUGGUAAACUUCUUUUACCAGGGACGAAACUUGACGGUACCUGGAGAAAAAGACAACGGCUAACUACGUG